GGCUUCCACUGAUCGUUUCUCUGUCACUCCAAACUUAUUCAUGGUAAGAAAGAAAAACAUUAUUUAGGUGACACGCCAGAGAUGAAGUGUUCUCUGGGCUUUGGGACUGUGGUACUCUUAAUGCUUGGACAAACCCAUGGAGACUCAGUGACUCAGACGGAAGGCCAAGUGACCCUCUCAGAAAAUGCUUUCCUGACUAUGAAUUGUACUUAUUCAGCAUCAGGGUAUCCUGUCCUUUUCUGGUAUGUCCAGUAUCCCGGUGAAGGUCUGGAGCUCCUCCUGAAAGCCUUGAAGGACAAGGAGAAAGGAAGCAACAAAGGAUUUGAAGCCACCUACGAUGGCAAAGCCAAAUCCUUCCACUUGGAGAAACGCUCAGUGCAAGCAUCAGAUUCAGCUGUGUACUACUGUGCCCUGAAUGACACAGUGAUAGGGACUGUAGGGGGAGCUGAGCACAAACUCUUAGCAGAACAGGGGCCUAGAAGCUGA
Non-coding RNA from Mustela erminea (ermine), 486 nucleotides. Lineage: Eukaryota; Metazoa; Chordata; Mammalia; Carnivora; Mustelidae. The record is from the annotation of a RefSeq genome assembly.